AUACUUACCUGGUACGGGAGGUCACCGUGAUCCGCAAGGCGGUCCUCCCAGGGCGAGGCCCUUUCCAUUGCACAACAUCGGUUUGGCUGACCCCUGCGAUCACCCCAAAUGCGGGUGAUUCGAGUACGUAAUUUAUAUGUGUGGGGGUCUGCGUUCGCGCUAAUCCCUG
This 169-nucleotide small nuclear RNA is filed under the name Haliotis rufescens (red abalone). RNAcentral describes it as "U1 spliceosomal RNA". It matches the Rfam family "U1 spliceosomal RNA". From Rfam's summary of the family: U1 is a small nuclear RNA (snRNA) component of the spliceosome (involved in pre-mRNA splicing). The record is from RNAcentral. Lineage: Eukaryota; Metazoa; Mollusca; Gastropoda; Lepetellida; Haliotidae.